UAAAUAACAAUGCGGGGCCCUUUGGGUCUUGCAAUUGGAAUGAGAACAAUUUAAAUCCCUUAUCGAGUAACAAUUGGAGGGCAAGUCUGGUGCCAGCAGCCGCGGUAAUUCCAGCUCCAAUAGCGUAUAUUAAAGUUGUUGCAGUUAAAAAGCUCGUAGUUGAACCUUUGGGACUGCCUGUGGGUUCCGCGCAAGCGGUGACUCACUGUGUAGGCCUACUUUUGAGGGUCGGGCCUUUGGCUCGCCUCCCUCGGGUUACUGUGAAGAAAUUAGAGUGUUUAAAGCAGGCUUACGCUUGAAUACAUCAGCAUGGAAUAACAAGCAAGACUAGAGUCUUCUUGUUGGUUUGGAGAUUAGAGUAAUGAUUAAUAGGGCCAGUUGGGGGCAUUAGUAUUCAGUAGUCAGAGGUGAAAUUCUUGGAUUUACUGAAGACUAACUAGUGCGAAAGCAUUUGCCAAGGAUGUUUUCAUUAAUCAAGAACGAAAGUUAGGGGAUCGAAGACGAUCAGAUACCGUCGUAGUCUUAACUAUAAACGAUGCCGACUACGGAUCGGCAGAAGUCGUUAGCGACUCUGUCGGCACGUUGUGAGAAAUCAAAGUUUUUGGGUUCUGGGGGAGUAUGGUCGCAAGGCUGAAACUUAAAGGAAUUGACGGAAGGGCACCACCAGGAGUGGAGCCUGCGGCUUAAUUUGACUCAACACGGGAAAACUCACCAGGUCCGGACAUAGUAAGGAUUGACAGAUUGAGAGCUCUUUCUUGAUUCUGUGGGUGGUGGUGCAUGGCCGUUCUUAGUUGGUGGAGUGAUUUGUCUGGUUAAUUCCGAUAACGAACGAGACCUUGACCUGCUAACUAGUUACCUGUACGUGAGUAUGGGAUACUUCUUAGAGGGACUGACUAUGGUUAAUAGUCGGAAGUUCGAGGCAAUAACAGGUCUGUGAUGCCCUUAGAUGUUCUGGGCUGCACGCGCGCUACACUGACAAAGCCAGCGAGUAUACCUUGGCCGAGAGGCCUGGGAAAUCUUGUGAAACUUUGUCGUGCUGGGGAUAGAUCAUUGCAAUUAUUGGUCUUGAACGAGGAAUUCCUAGUAAGCGCAAGUCAUCAGCUUGCGUUGAUUACGUCCCUGCCCUUUGUACACACCGCCCGUCGCUACUACCGAUUGAAUGGCUUAGUGAGGC
Molecule: ribosomal RNA, 1174 nt
Filed under: uncultured Rozellomycota
Lineage: Eukaryota; Fungi; Rozellomycota
Description: SSU rRNA
Rfam family: Eukaryotic small subunit ribosomal RNA
Source: RNAcentral